AUGUGUGUGUGUGUGUGUGUGUGUGUGUGUGUCUGUAUAUAUGUGUCUGUAUGUGUGUGUCUCUGUAUGUAUGUGUCUGCAUCAUACAGACACAUACAGACACAUACAUACAGACAGACACACACACACAUACAGA
Molecule: microRNA precursor, 136 nt
Filed under: Pelobates cultripes (western spadefoot toad)
Lineage: Eukaryota; Metazoa; Chordata; Amphibia; Anura; Pelobatidae
Source: RNAcentral